Molecule: ribosomal RNA, 438 nt
Filed under: Priestia megaterium
Lineage: Bacteria; Bacillati; Bacillota; Bacilli; Caryophanales; Bacillaceae
Description: bacterial SSU rRNA
Rfam family: Bacterial small subunit ribosomal RNA
Source: RNAcentral
UGGGCGUAAGCGCGCGCAGGCGGUUUCUUAAGUCUGAUGUGAAAGCCCACGGCUCAACCGUGGAGGGUCAUUGGAAACUGGGGAACUUGAGUGCAGAAGAGAAAAGCGGAAUUCCACGUGUAGCGGUGAAAUGCGUAGAGAUGUGGAGGAACACCAGUGGCGAAGGCGGCUUUUUGGUCUGUAACUGACGCUGAGGCGCGAAAGCGUGGGGAGCAAACAGGAUUAGAUACCCUGGUAGUCCACGCCGUAAACGAUGAGUGCUAAGUGUUAGAGGGUUUCCGCCCUUUAGUGCUGCAGCUAACGCAUUAAGCACUCCGCCUGGGGAGUACGGUCGCAAGACUGAAACUCAAAGGAAUUGACGGGGGCCCGCACAAGCGGUGGAGCAUGUGGUUUAAUUCUAAGCAACGCGAAGAACCUUACCAGGUCUUGACAUCCUCU